GACGAACGCUGGCGGCGUGCUUAACACAUGCAAGUCGAACGGAAAGGCCUGCUUUCCCUUGUGGAUUGCGGGUACUCGAGUGGCGAACGGGUGAGUAACACGUGAGUGAUCUGCCCCCAACUUGGGUAUAAGCCUGGGAAACUGGGUCUAAUUCCCGAUAGGACUGCAGGGUGGUGCCUGUGGUGGAAAACGAUUUUCUAGUGGCUGGGGAUGAGCUCGCGGCCUAUCAGCUUGUUGGUGGGGUAAUGGCCUACCAAGGCGGCGACGGGUAGCCGGCCUGGGAGGGUGGACGGCCACAUUGGGACUGCGAUACGGCCCAGACUCCUACGGGAGGCAGCAGUGGGGAAUAUUGCACAAUGGGCGGAAGCCUGAUGCAGCGACGCCGCGUGGGGGAUGACGGCCUUCGGGUUGUAAACUCCUUUCGACCGCGAGGAAGCCACCUGGUUGGAAGGGUGGUGACGGUAGUGGUAGAAGAAGCACCGGCUAACUACGUG
Molecule: ribosomal RNA, 494 nt
Filed under: uncultured bacterium
Lineage: Bacteria
Description: partial 16S ribosomal RNA
Rfam family: Bacterial small subunit ribosomal RNA
Source: RNAcentral